UACGGAGGGGACUAGCGUUGUUCGGAAUUACUGGGCGUAAAGCGCGCGUAGGCGGACUAUUAAGUCAGGGGUGAAAUCCCGGGGCUCAACCCCGGAACUGCCCUUGAUACUGGUAGUAUGGAGUUCUGGAGAGGUGAGUGGAAUUCCGAGUGUAGAGGUGAAAUUCGUAGAUAUUCGGAGGAACACCAGUGGCGAAGGCGGCUCACUGGCCAGAUACUGACGCUGAGGUGCGAAAGUGUGGGGAGCAAACAGG
RNAcentral lists this ribosomal RNA (253 nucleotides) under uncultured bacterium. RNAcentral describes it as "partial 16S ribosomal RNA". It matches the Rfam family "Bacterial small subunit ribosomal RNA", at positions 524 to 776 of the family's 1533-position model. The record is from RNAcentral.